UACGAAGGGGGCUAGCGUUGCUCGGAAUCACUGGGCGUAAAGCGCACGUAGGCGGCUUUUUAAGUCAGGGGUGAAAUCCUGGAGCUCAACUCCAGAACUGCCUUUGAUACUGGGAAGCUUGAGUCCGGAAGAGGUGAGUGGAACUCCGAGUGUAGAGGUGAAAUUCGUAGAUAUUCGGAAGAACACCAGUGGCGCAGGCGGCUCACUGGUCCGGUACUGACGCUGAGGUGCGAAAGCGUGGGGAGCAAACAGG
This 253-nucleotide ribosomal RNA is filed under the name uncultured bacterium. RNAcentral describes it as "partial 16S ribosomal RNA". It matches the Rfam family "Bacterial small subunit ribosomal RNA", at positions 524 to 776 of the family's 1533-position model. The record is from RNAcentral.